RNAcentral lists this ribosomal RNA (429 nucleotides) under Pseudomonadota bacterium. Its description in RNAcentral is "Proteobacteria bacterium partial 16S ribosomal RNA". It matches the Rfam family "Bacterial small subunit ribosomal RNA", at positions 355 to 776 of the family's 1533-position model. Lineage: Bacteria; Pseudomonadati; Pseudomonadota. The record is from RNAcentral.
UGGGGAAUAUUGGACAAUGGGCGAAAGCCUGAUCCAGCCAUGCCGCGUGUGUGAAGAAGGUCUUCGGAUUGUAAAGCACUUUAAGUUGGGAGGAAGGGCAGUAAGCGAAUACCUUGCUGUUUUGACGUUACCGACAGAAUAAGCACCGGCUAACUCUGUGCCAGCAGCCGCGGUAAUACAGAGGGUGCAAGCGUUAAUCGGAAUUACUGGGCGUAAAGCGCGCGUAGGUGGUUCGUUAAGUUGAAUGUGAAAGCCCCGGGCUCAACCUGGGAACUGCAUCCAAAACUGGCGAGCUAGAGUAGGGCAGAGGGUGGUGGAGUUUCCUGUGUAGCGGUGAAGUGCGUAGAUAUAGGAAGGAACACCAGUGGCGAAGGCGACCACCUGGGCUCAUACUGACACUGAAGUGCGAAAGCGUGGGGAGCAAACAGG